Long non-coding RNA from Triticum aestivum (bread wheat), 1103 nucleotides. RefSeq lists it as uncharacterized. The record is from RefSeq and is a predicted model, not a curated record. Lineage: Eukaryota; Viridiplantae; Streptophyta; Magnoliopsida; Poales; Poaceae. The transcript has 5 exons.
CACCUUGCGAUCCUUGGUCGAGCCAUUUUUAUCUUCCAGCAUCCAAUUGGCAAGAUCAUCCCUUGGACCAUCAAUGCCCACAAGGUGUGCUUCAUCAACAAAAAGAGCAGACAAGCGAGGAUCCACAGCCGAAUGUUCAAAGAGUCUUGAGCCGGCGAGCAGUCUUGCGGAAGAACUCCUUAAAGCCACCCUGGUGCUGGUGGCCCUCGUUACUGAGCUGGUGGAUGAACUUGUCGAUGACAUCCUCAAUGUCAUAGGUCAGCUCGGAUUUGAGAGAGCGGAUCUCGCGGCGGACGCCUUUGAGGCGGGCACACUCACCGGCGAGCAAACCGGGAUCUCUCUAUUCCUCGCUCGAACCCAUCUCUCCCUGGGUUCGUGCUUGGUGUGCUCAGAGUGGAGAGAAGAGCAGGAAGAGGACUGAAUAAUGGGGUUCGUACUAGCUGCAAGAUUCCUUGAGAUUUGCUUUAGAUCGGCCUAACCAUGGCUGUAGCUGUGGACAGUGCGCAGCGUCACUCAUGUCGGCUUCACGGCUCUGUACGCCUUGACUGGUAGUCUCCUACCACAGUUUAACCUAUGGCAGCAGAUGGGUACAAAGAAUUAAGCACAAUGGCCCAUAUGCAAGUGACUCUUGAAGAAAAUGAGGGUACAUCUCAAAGAUAAGUAUGCUUCUCACACACAUUAUCUCACCUCUUGUCAUGUCAUGACUUUAUCAAAAGCAGAAAAAGGUAGUGGAAUAAUUGAGCAUGCUGUCCUACUGCCAGUGACUUAUCACUGGAGGCCAAGAUUUGAACGAUCAUUGAGCAAGGAAGUAUCCAAUGCUAGACUUCGCAGGCGACUGGUUCUGGUGUAGCCGUAUAUGUUUCAUGCACAGUCACCACACAAAUGGUGAAACCGACGAAUGAAUUCACCCAGCGUUCACUUCUGUCAAGAAACAAGACACUCAAAGUGGAAUAUAAAAACUCCAGCAGCGGCAUGUUCUCACCGAAUCAUAUCAACCCUGAAUUAAGCCUGUGCUGCAUUGCAGGGUGCAGACUAUCUUGCUGUACCUAGUGGACACGGACCUGAAGCUGGGCCGGUGGCGCCGCACCUGGAGCGGUUGGGGG